GACGAACGCUGGCGGCGUGCCUAAUACAUGCAAGUCGAGCGGAACUGGGGGAGCUUGCUCCUUCCAGUUUAGCGGCGGACGGGUGAGUAACACGUGGGCAACCUGCCCUGCAGAUCGGGAUAACUCCGGGAAACCGGUGCUAAUACCGAAUAGUUUGGCGCCUCUCCUGAGGCGCUACGGAAAGACGGUUUCGGCUGUCACUGCAGGAUGGGCCCGCGGCGCAUUAGCUAGUUGGUGGGGUAACGGCCCACCAAGGCGACGAUGCGUAGCCGACCUGAGAGGGUGACCGGCCACACUGGGACUGAGACACGGCCCAGACUCCUACGGGAGGCAGCAGUAGGGAAUCUUCCGCAAUGGACGCAAGUCUGACGGAGCAACGCCGCGUGAGUGACGAAGGUUUUCGGAUCGUAAAACUCUGUCGUGAGGGAGGAACACGUACCAACUAACUAUUGGUACCUUGACGGUACCUCGCCAGAAAGCCACGGCUAACUACGUGCCAGCCGCCGCGGUAA
This 512-nucleotide ribosomal RNA is filed under the name uncultured bacterium. RNAcentral's name for it is "partial 16S ribosomal RNA". It matches the Rfam family "Bacterial small subunit ribosomal RNA", at positions 28 to 523 of the family's 1533-position model. The record is from RNAcentral.